AACCGAGAGGAAAAUGAGGACUAAGUUUGUAUGGAAACGCGAUUUCGCCAGGCCGUCCACUUUACUCUUAACAGACGGCAAGUAAUGCCCUAUCCUACCAGCCAUUUCGGGAUUCACAAUAUUGGGUAUAUGAUUAUAUUCAUAAACCAACUAUCACAUGUGCUUGGGGGCUUGUGACUUGUAUAGUCAUGGUCUGAGAGUCCCUAAUCCUUAAGUACCUACUUCUUUCGACAAAUAAAACAUUACAGGUAAUAUGUGACCGACAACUUCUCCUCAACUAGCUUUUAAGCAGAAUGUCUUGUUGUACAAUGAUUUUGAUGUUAAAAAUACAAUAUAUUCCAAUGAUUGAAAUCUGAAUGUGCGUUACAAUUGUUGUUAAAAUUAAUGUUCAAAUAAUCCAAAUCAAGUAAUUUCUGCUGUUAAAUGUCAUACAUCCGUCGAUUAUCAUUAUGGAAAUAAAUACUUUAAUGAUAA
This is a long non-coding RNA of Cydia splendana, 474 nucleotides long. RefSeq lists it as uncharacterized. The record is from RefSeq and is a predicted model, not a curated record. The transcript has 2 exons. Lineage: Eukaryota; Metazoa; Arthropoda; Insecta; Lepidoptera; Tortricidae.